This 655-nucleotide ribosomal RNA is filed under the name uncultured organism. RNAcentral's name for it is "bacterial SSU rRNA". It matches the Rfam family "Bacterial small subunit ribosomal RNA", at positions 555 to 1219 of the family's 1533-position model. The record is from RNAcentral.
UGGGCGUGCAGAGCGUUGAUGCGGUUCCAUACGUUGGACGUUAUGGCCCCUGGCUCAACUCAGGGAGGUCGUUCAAUACUGCGUAACUUGAGUGCAGCUGAGCGAGGUGCAAUUCCCGGCGUAGCGCUGAAAUGCGUAGAUAUCGGGAGGAACACCAGUGGCGAAGGCGGCCUCCUGGGCUGCUCCUGACGCUGAAGGCGAAAGACUAGGGGAGCGAACGGGAUUAGAAACCCCGGUAGUCCUAGCCGUUAACGAUGAAUGCUGAGAUGUGGGGGGUAUAGAUUUCCUCCGUGCGGAAGCUAACGCGUUAAGCAUCCCGCCUGGGGACUACGUCCGCAAGGCUAAAACUCAAACGAAUUGACGGGUGCCCGCACAAGCAGCGGAGCGUGAUGGUUUAAUUCGAUCCUACACGAAGAACCUUACCUGGGUUUUACAUGCAAGUAGUAGUGAAGCGAAAGCGGAACGCCCCUUCGGGGAGCUUGCACAGGUGCUGCAUGGCUGUCGUCAGCUCGUGCCGUGAGGUGUCGGGUUAAGUCCCGUAUACGAGCGCAACCCUUGCCCUUAGUUAUACGUGUCUAAGGAGACUGCCCGGGACAACUGGGAGGAAGGUGGGGAUGACGUCAAGUCAGCAUGGCCUUUAUAUCCAGGGCGACAC